CGGGGUGUAGCGCAGCUUGGUAGCGCGCUUGAAUGGGGUUCAAGAGGUCGUGGGUUCAAAUCCCGCCACCCCGACCA
RNAcentral lists this transfer RNA (77 nucleotides) under Candidatus Kuenenia stuttgartensis. RNAcentral's name for it is "tRNA-Pro". It matches the Rfam family "tRNA". From Rfam's summary of the family: Transfer RNA (tRNA) molecules are approximately 80 nucleotides in length. Their secondary structure includes four short double-helical elements and three loops (D, anti-codon, and T loops). RNAcentral also lists the same sequence under 6 other names. Lineage: Bacteria; Pseudomonadati; Planctomycetota; Candidatus Brocadiia; Candidatus Brocadiales; Candidatus Brocadiaceae. The record is from RNAcentral.